GACGAACGCUGGCGGCGUGCUUAACACAUGCAAGUCGAACGCUGAACCCGCUUCGGUGGGGGAUGAGUGGCGAACGGGUGAGUAACACGUGGGCAACCUGCCCCCGGCUCUGGGAUAACUCCAAGAAAUUGGGGCUAAUACCGGAUGUGACCGCUGGCCGCAUGGUCUGGUGGUGGAAAGGGUUUCCGGCUGGGGAUGGGCCCGCGGCCUAUCAGCUUGUUGGUGGGGGAGUGGCCUACCAAGGCGACGACGGGUAGCCGGCCUGAGAGGGUGACCGGCCACACUGGGACUGAGACACGGCCCAGACUCCUCCGGGAGGCAGCAGUGGGGAAUAUUGCGCAAUGGGCGGAAGCCUGACGCAGCGACGCCGCGUGGGGGAUGACGGCCUUCGGGUUGUAAACCUCUUUCAGCAGGGACGAAGCGCAAGUGACGGUACCUGCAGAAGAAGCACCGGCCAACUACGUG
RNAcentral lists this ribosomal RNA (465 nucleotides) under uncultured bacterium. RNAcentral's name for it is "partial 16S ribosomal RNA". It matches the Rfam family "Bacterial small subunit ribosomal RNA", at positions 28 to 507 of the family's 1533-position model. The record is from RNAcentral.